RNAcentral lists this ribosomal RNA (700 nucleotides) under Bacillus velezensis. RNAcentral describes it as "bacterial SSU rRNA". It matches the Rfam family "Bacterial small subunit ribosomal RNA", at positions 36 to 720 of the family's 1533-position model. Lineage: Bacteria; Bacillati; Bacillota; Bacilli; Caryophanales; Bacillaceae. The record is from RNAcentral.
CUCGCGCCGCCUAAUACAUGCAAGUCGAGCGGACAGAUGGGAGCUUGCUCCCUGAUGUUAGCGGCGGACGGGUGAGUAACACGUGGGUAACCUGCCUGUAAGACUGGGAUAACUCCGGGAAACCGGGGCUAAUACCGGAUGGUUGUCUGAACCGCAUGGUUCAGACAUAAAAGGUGGCUUCGGCUACCACUUACAGAUGGACCCGCGGCGCAUUAGCUAGUUGGUGAGGUAACGGCUCACCAAGGCGACGAUGCGUAGCCGACCUGAGAGGGUGAUCGGCCACACUGGGACUGAGACACGGCCCAGACUCCUACGGGAGGCAGCAGUAGGGAAUCUUCCGCAAUGGACGAAAGUCUGACGGAGCAACGCCGCGUGAGUGAUGAAGGUUUUCGGAUCGUAAAGCUCUGUUGUUAGGGAAGAACAAGUGCCGUUCAAAUAGGGCGGCACCUUGACGGUACCUAACCAGAAAGCCACGGCUAACUACGUGCCAGCAGCCGCGGUAAUACGUAGGUGGCAAGCGUUGUCCGGAAUUAUUGGGCGUAAAGGGCUCGCAGGCGGUUUCUUAAGUCUGAUGUGAAAGCCCCCGGCUCAACCGGGGAGGGUCAUUGGAAACUGGGGAACUUGAGUGCAGAAGAGGAGAGUGGAAUUCCACGUGUAGCGGUGAAAUGCGUAGAGAUGUGGAGGAACACCAGUGGCGAAG